This 253-nucleotide ribosomal RNA is filed under the name uncultured bacterium. RNAcentral's name for it is "partial 16S ribosomal RNA". It matches the Rfam family "Bacterial small subunit ribosomal RNA", at positions 524 to 776 of the family's 1533-position model. The record is from RNAcentral.
UACGGGGGGGGCAAGCGUUGUUCGGAAUUACUGGGCGUAAAGGGCUCGUAGGCGGCCAACUAAGUCAGACGUGAAAUCCCUCGGCUUAACCGGGGAACUGCGUCUGAUACUGGUUGGCUUGAAUCCGGGAGAGGGAUGUGGAAUUCCAGGUGUAGCGGUGAAAUGCGUAGAUAUCUGGAGGAACACCGGUGGCGAAGGCGGCAUCCUGGACCGGCAUUGACGCUGAGGAGCGAAAGCCAGGGGAGCAAACGGG